UCGGGUAUGGUGUAGCGGUAACAUCCAUGACUCUCAUCGCCGUCUCAGACGAGUGAUUGAUCUCAUGAGCCCGGGGUUCGACUCCCCGUAUCCGAG
This 96-nucleotide transfer RNA is filed under the name Cryphonectria parasitica EP155. Its description in RNAcentral is "tRNA-Glu". It matches the Rfam family "tRNA". From Rfam's summary of the family: Transfer RNA (tRNA) molecules are approximately 80 nucleotides in length. Their secondary structure includes four short double-helical elements and three loops (D, anti-codon, and T loops). The record is from RNAcentral. Lineage: Eukaryota; Fungi; Ascomycota; Sordariomycetes; Diaporthales; Cryphonectriaceae.